RNAcentral lists this ribosomal RNA (602 nucleotides) under uncultured Acidobacteriota bacterium. RNAcentral's name for it is "bacterial SSU rRNA". It matches the Rfam family "Bacterial small subunit ribosomal RNA", at positions 329 to 921 of the family's 1533-position model. Lineage: Bacteria; Pseudomonadati; Acidobacteriota. The record is from RNAcentral.
CAGGUCACUCCUACGGGAGGCAGCAGUGGGGAAUUUUUCGCAAUGGGGGAAACCCUGACGAAGCAACGCCGCGUGGAGGAUGAAGGCCUUCGGGUCGUAAACUCCUGUCGACCGGGACGAACGUAGUCGGGUCCAAUACAUCCGGCUAUCGACUGUACCGGUAAAGGAAGCCACGGCUAACUCUGUGCCAGCAGCCGCGGUAAUACAGAGGUGGCAAGCGUUGUUCGGAAUUACUGGGCGUAAAGGGCGCGUAGGCGGUUCGAUAAGUCCCGUGUGAAAUCCCUCGGCUCAACUGAGGAAUGGCACGGGAAACUGACGGGCUUGAGUUCGGGAGAGGGAAGCGGAAUUCCGGGUGUAGCGGUGAAAUGCGUAGAUAUCCGGAGGAACACCGGUGGCGAAGGCGGCUUCCUGGACCGACACUGACGCUGAGGCGCGAAAGCUAGGGGAGCAAACGGGAUUAGAUACCCUGGUAGUCCACGCUGUAAACGAUGAGCACUAGGUGUCGUGGGUAUUGACCCCCGCGGUGCCGUAGCUAACGCAUUAAGUGCUCCGCCUGGGGACUACGGCCGCAAGGUUAAAACUUAAAGGAAUUGACGGGACUC